This is an RNA transcript of Hemicordylus capensis (graceful crag lizard), 4281 nucleotides long. It is a transcript of the gene named cytohesin 1, with no coding region annotated. The transcript has 13 exons. Lineage: Eukaryota; Metazoa; Chordata; Lepidosauria; Squamata; Cordylidae. The record is from RefSeq and is a predicted model, not a curated record.
UCUAAGUGGCUUUGUGUGUCUCGGCAGCUGUACGAGACACACGUUACUAGUAAUAGUUUCCUGGCAGGGAACUGGGAUUGGCUGUGCUCCGUGCGUGGGAGCCUCUACUCUUCCUUCUGCUUCAGCCGGACUGGGGAUCCCUUGCUUGGUGUCUCUCCCCCGCCUCCCACAACUGCUGUUGCUGCUUGGAGAGCCGUUUGGUGCUGCAGAGUUGGAUAUUCAGAGGCUCCAGCCUCCCUGCCACCCCUUCUCGCCCUGACCUGCUAGGCCCUUCCUGCCUGUCCAAGGGCAGCCUGGCCUGCCCAUCCUUGAGGGGGUAUAAUAUUGAUAGUCUGCCAUCAUGGGAACAGUCAGUGAGCUCUGUGCCUCCAGUUUCCAAGCCUUCCUCUGCCCCUCCACCUUGGCGACCUCCAAGCCAGUGCCCAGCGACCUGACCCCUGAAGAGUGCCAGGAGCUUGAGAACAUCCGUCGUCGCAAGCAGGAACUGCUGGCAGACAUACAGCGCCUGAAAGAUGAGAUAGCAGAGGUGACUAAUGAAAUCGAGAACCUGGGCUCCACAGAAGAGAGGAAAACCAUGCAGAGAAACAAGCAGGUGGCGAUGGGCAGGAAGAAGUUCAACAUGGAUCCUAAGAAGGGGAUCCAGUUCCUGAUUGAAAAUGACCUGUUGAAGAACACAUGUGAAGAUAUUGCCCAGUUCCUCUACAAGGGGGAAGGGCUCAACAAGACUGCCAUUGGUGAUUACUUGGGUGAAAGAGAUGAUUUCAAUAUCCAGGUGUUGCACUCGUUUGUGGAGCUGCAUGAGUUUACUGACCUCAAUUUGGUGCAGGCGCUGCGGCAGUUCCUUUGGAGCUUCCGGCUGCCGGGCGAGGCACAGAAGAUUGAUCGAAUGAUGGAGGCUUUUGCACAACGCUACUGUCAAUGCAACCCUGGGGUCUUCCAGUCAACAGACACUUGUUACGUGCUCUCCUUUGCCAUCAUCAUGCUCAACACCAGUCUGCACAACCCCAACGUCAAGGACAAGCCCACAGUGGAGCGCUUCAUCGCCAUGAAUCGCGGCAUCAAUGAUGGCGGGGACCUGCCCGAGGAGCUGCUCAGGAACCUCUAUGAGAGUAUUAAAAACGAGCCCUUCAAAAUUCCUGAGGAUGAUGGCAACGACCUGACGCACACCUUCUUCAACCCAGACCGCGAAGGCUGGCUUCUGAAACUCGGAGGUAUGUACCCCCAUAUCCCCUUGCUAGCUUUGCUGGGGCCAAAGGUGCGCUGCAGUGCUUGUUUUAUUUUUCUGUUCUCUUUUUAUUUUUUAAUUGCUGGUGAUUAUAGUCUUAUUGCUGCUGUUGCCACCGUUGCUAACUGACUGCACAGUCCCUGGGGAACUGGGAAGAGGGUGGGCUGAGGGGAGUAGAAGCUCCUGUCCCCCACCCUAAAAAAGCAAGAAGUCCCCCAUGGAGCCAUAUCCAAGCCCGGCAGUAUCCCUCUCCUCAGUUCUGUCGUGAUCCAGGAUGCUUAGUGCUGUCCUUUGUAUUUGGCACUUCUUUUAGGGAUAAAGACAUGAGGAACUCCUCAGUCUGAAUGGUCUGCACUUUUCUUUGGGCUGGAGAAAUGGGGGCUAGGGCUGUCGCACUAGGAAGAGGCAGCUACACUCACAGCAGCUUGCUGUCAGGGCAUGGAGCCCUUGAAGUCGCAUGGCUGCUUCUCUGCUUUCAAACCACACCACAUGGAAAACAUGCUCAGAGAAGGCACGUAAUGCUGGGUUUUACUUGCUGUUGCCAAGAAAUGCUGAAUAGGGCUAGUGAUGCUUCAAAGUGGCUUCUUGUUGCCCUAGAAGGCGCUUUCUAGAUGCUUUAGAUUGACGAUAGUGACUACACAGCCAUAACAAUAUCACCACCCUUUUUUAAAAUGGGGGAAUAGCUUUUAAUUCUGGUCCCAAAAAUCACAACUAUCAAAGGUGUUUUGCUGUGGGGGUGAUAAACCAUAAAGCAAACAAGAAGCUUCUUCCCGCAGAUACCUACACAAUUUUGAAGGCCAUGCCAGUCUUAAAUGUGUUUCCUGUCAUUUUCAGAAGCUCUGUGCUUACCCAUUUCAGUGUGUUAGCACAUACUUCCUACUGCUUAAAACAUUGGUAGGGAAAGGUAAAGCUAGUACUAAGUGAAAGCAGCAUUACCCCAAUGGGGAAGGCCCUUUGUCUGGUAAUGCCCUAAGAAUUCCCUGUUAGCAGAGAUAAGGUUCUUCCUGCAUAACAAGGACUAAUAAGGUGGCAUUAAUCCUGUUGAGCUGAUGUAUGGCAAGGGAGCCUUAAUGUUCAGAUCCUGGUUGGUGAAAAGAAAAGCUUUGCUUAUGUGUGAGAUGGAUCCCAGUUAGCUAAUGCAGGACUGGCAAGGCAAAAAUUUUAACUGUUGUGAGCUGAUAAUAUAUUGAUUGUGCCAUUGUCUUAAUUCUUACCGAUCCACUUAUAUAACACUGUAAAUACCUGCAGAUUUGAUUUUUGCAACAAGCCCACGAAACAGCUCACUCUUCCCAUUUUAUGGAUAAGGGUGUUGUAGGUGGAGGCAGUCUUGCCUAACACCACCCAAAGAGUCCAUAGAUGAGGAAGUUCCAAUUCUUUGGAUCAUAGACUCCCCUGUGUCUUAAAAGAAAGUGAAAUUUAACUCACUUUACUGUGUUGGAUCAGCAUAAGCUAUGUUUUCAAGAGUUUCUUGGCAAUCACAAGGACUAAAAGCAGUAUUAUCAGCUGAAGUUCUUGUUACUUUUUCCUCUUAGGAGGCCAUUAGAAAAGAUUCCCCAAGUAUACCUUGUAUACUCCUGGCUUCUGAUGCUUUUCUUAUGGCUGAGGAAAGAAAGCAGCAUAAUGGAUGGCAAAGCAUGUUUUCUCAGCCUCUAAAUUUCAUAGCAAAUUGGAGUGCUCCAAAAUAAGAGUUUCUGGAAUAUUUAGAAGCCAAAUGGAAUUUUUUUUAAUGUUUGCGGACUUUGCUAUGCAGUGGGCAAAUGAGAGUGAAAAUGAACAGUGGACUCUAAACAGUUUGCGUUCCACAAGCCUCUAGUAUUCAAUUCAAGUAGUUUUCAAGCUUGGUUAAUUUAGGUAUCUCCCCCACCCCCUAAAUGGACAACUUCACCUUGAGCUUCCUGACAGGGUAUGUAGGGAAAUGUCACUCACACUCUUGAUUGCUCUGUGCUUGCUCCAGAUUGUGAAUUCAAAAACCAAGUAAGAGCCCUACAUUGUACAGGGUGCACGCACGCGCACCCCCCCUCCCCUCUACCUCUCUCUCUUAUUUUUUUAAAUUUAGGAUUAAAACACUUUGAGUAAAAUUCUAACUAGGUUUCUGUGCCAUUGCUUUCUUGUACAUAACCCAGUUGCAGCAGGCGAGCACUGCCUAGGGGAGACCCCAGUUAUCCAGGCAGGAGCCUCCCUGCUCCUCCACACCAGCAGGUGUGGGUGUUUACCCCAGCCUGCCAGCAUGGAGGGAAGCAAAGGGAGGAAAGCAGGGCAAAAGGGCAAAAAACCGAGAAGUUUGGGGGGUGGGGGGGGAGAAGGCAGAAAGUAGAAAAGUCAGAGCAAAAAGCAGGGAGAACGUCAGGAAAUGGAGAAGGGAGGGCAAAAGGCAGCAAGAGGGACAGGAAGGAGAAAGCAGAGAUUGCAUCUCUCCCCCCCCCACACCAAACAAGCUAGUAAAAGAUUGAACGUACGUACGGGCAGCCAGGAAUCUUCCAGAGCAGGGAGCUUCCUGCAGCCCCUCCUCCCCUGCUUGUAACGUCCUCUUUUGCUCUUACUGGCUGCCUGCAACAGCUGCUCCAGCCAGUCUUGAGUCCUAGGAGGCUCCUCCUGGCACGGCCCCCAGGAAAAACUAAAAUAAUGGGUCAAAAUACACUUCUUGGUUGAGCCGCCCUGAGCCAUUUUUGGAGGGGCCGUAUAUAAAUCAAAUACAUACAUGAUUUUUUUUUUUACACAUUUCCCCCUUCUUCCUGGGGGCAGUGCCUGGAGGAACCCCCUAGGAAUCGGACUGGCUAGAGCAGCUUGAAGAGCAGCUGUUCCAGCCAGUAAGAGCAAAAGAAGAAAUUACAGGCAGGGGAGGAGGGGUUGCAGAAAGCUCUCUGUUCUGGAGGCUUCCCUGGCUGCCUAUAUCGUCGCAGAAUAUAGGCUGUUCCCAGGAAAGCUGCUUUUGUAAUUGGCUGAUGGUGGCCGAGUAAAGACAUGGAAACGGCGCUGGUUCAUCUUGACAGACAACUGCCUUUACUACUUUGAGUACACCACGGACAAGGAACCACGAGGCAUCAUUCCUUUGGAGA